RNAcentral lists this ribosomal RNA (430 nucleotides) under uncultured bacterium. RNAcentral describes it as "partial 16S ribosomal RNA". It matches the Rfam family "Bacterial small subunit ribosomal RNA", at positions 29 to 505 of the family's 1533-position model. The record is from RNAcentral.
ACGAGCGCUGGCGGCAGGCCUAACACAUGCAAGUCGAGCGCGCCCUUCGGGGUGAGCGGCGGACGGGUGAGUAACGCGUGGGAACGUGCCCUUUUCUACGGAAUAGCCUCGGGAAACUGAGAGUAAUACCGUAUACGCCCUUUGGGGGAAAGAUUUAUCGGAAAAGGAUCGGCCCGCGUUGGAUUAGGUAGUUGGUGGGGUAAUGGCCUACCAAGCCGACGAUCCAUAGCUGGUUUGAGAGGAUGAUCAGCCACACUGGGACUGAGACACGGCCCAGACUCCUACGGGAGGCAGCAGUGGGGAAUCUUAGACAAUGGGGGCAACCCUGAUCUAGCCAUGCCGCGUGAGUGAUGAAGGCCUUAGGGUUGUAAAGCUCUUUCAGCUGGGAAGAUAAUGACGGUACCAGCAGAAGAAGCCCCGGCUAACUCCG